UUCUGACCGUAAACGAUGCCAACUAGCGAUCCGCCGGCGGCUCUUCAAGGCCCUGGUGGGGAGCUUCCCGGAAACGAAAGUCUUCCGGUUCCGGGGGAAGUAUGGUUGCAAAGCUGAAACUUAAAGGAAUUGACGGAAGGGCACCACCAGGAGUGGAGCCUGCGGCUUAAUUUGACUCAACACGGGAAAACUCACCCGGCCCGGACACCGUGAGGAUUGACAGAUUGAUAGCUUUUUCAUGAUUCGGUGGUUGGUGGUGCAUGGCCGUUCUUAGUUCGUGGAUCGAUUUGUCUGGUUUAUUCCGAUAACGAGCGAGACUCCAGCCUACUAAAUAGUGCGGGCGUUGCCUUUGCGCCCUUGCACUUCUUAGAGGGAUUGGCUGCGUCUAGCGGCACGAAACGGAGCAAUAACAGGUCUGUGAUGCCCUUAGAUGUCCGGGGCUGCACGCGCGCUACACUGGCAAAGGCAGCGUGCUUGUCCUGCGCCGAAAGGCGUGGGUAAACCAUUGAAAAUUUGCCGUGAUUGGGAUCGGAAAUUGCAAUUAUUUUCCGUGAACGAGGAAUUCCUAGUAAGUGCGAGUCAUCAGCUCGCGUUG
RNAcentral lists this ribosomal RNA (595 nucleotides) under Discocriconemella limitanea. RNAcentral describes it as "SSU rRNA". It matches the Rfam family "Eukaryotic small subunit ribosomal RNA", at positions 1024 to 1643 of the family's 1831-position model. The record is from RNAcentral. Lineage: Eukaryota; Metazoa; Nematoda; Chromadorea; Rhabditida; Criconematidae.